UUGAGUGCCUCUCUGAAUGUUUUCCCAUCAGUAAGACUCCUCCGAUCUUUAGAGCAAGCAAAAAUGACACCUUGGAUGAACCUGAUAUUGUUAUUAGUAAUCCUACAAGGUGUCCAGUCAGAGGUCCAGUUGGUGGAGUCUGGAGGGGAUGUGAGAAGACCUGGAGGUUCCCUCCGCCUCUCCUGCCAAGGCUCUGGAUUCACCUUCAGUGACUAUGGCAUGAACUGGGUGAGGCAGUAUCCAGGGAAAGGACUGGAAUGGGUGGCAUACAUUAGGUACGAUUCCAGCAGUAUUUACUACUCAGACAAGGUCAACGGACGCUUCACCAUCUCCAGGGACAAUGCCAAAAGCCAGGUGUAUCUGCAAAUGAACAACCUCAAGCUGGAGGACACGGGACGCUAUUAUUGUGCGAGAGACACAGUGAGAGGAAGUGAAUCUGAAGCCAAGCAAAAACUGCCUGUUCCUCAGAGCUGCUCUGCGAGUUCAUCCAUGAACCACAGCUUCAACUGGUGUUUUAUUGUGUGCGGGAUCAGAAAAUUCAUGAAGUUAGAAUUUGCUGUAACCAAUAGAAGAGAAGGUACUUCUGGUAAGAUGGAGGAGGAGAGAUGGAACUGGCUGGAGAAAGAGCUGGAGGAAAAGCCAGCGGACUGGUCCUUGGGACAGGCUGGAGAUUGGGCCAUGCCGGGGUCGAUGUGUUUGUCUGGACUCUAUGAUUCCAUGGGACUUUUCACCCGGAGAGGGUGA
This is a non-coding RNA of Python bivittatus (Burmese python), 744 nucleotides long. The record is from the annotation of a RefSeq genome assembly. Lineage: Eukaryota; Metazoa; Chordata; Lepidosauria; Squamata; Pythonidae.